CUUCUAGGUGCCAGAUGUGGUGCUGGCUCCUGGGGACAUGGGAAUGAACAGGCCAGGUGUGGCCCUGAACCAUCAAAUAGACAACCACAGAAAUAACAAAGAAUGAUGCUGGAGGCAGAGGAAGAUAAGGGUGGAAAGUGGGCGAUAAAUCAGGAGCUGUUGCAACAGUCCCAGCAAAGGAUAAUGAACAAAGACAAAACUGGGCCCUUCUACACAGUAGCUGGAACACAAAGGAAGAUCAGCCAAGCCUCAACAUAAUCUCAUAAAAAUUCUUCAAAUAUCCCAUUGUUAUGGAUUCAUACAUCAGGAAAGCAGAUGCCAAGAACCUGAAUACCUUCUACUGGUAACAUAUAUUUUGGCGAGCCAGCCCGGAGACAAGACCACUAUGGGCAACUUCCCAUCUAUUCUAUCUGGUGUCACUGUGGACAACUUCCUAUCUAUUCCACCCGAUUCACCGCUUGGCUACAUCCUCCACCAUUGGGAUGAAUUUGACCCUGACAACCUAAAGAAAACGUGUAUGAUUUUUUUACUGC
RNAcentral lists this long non-coding RNA (533 nucleotides) under Pongo abelii (Sumatran orangutan). RNAcentral's name for it is "lincRNA". The record is from RNAcentral. Lineage: Eukaryota; Metazoa; Chordata; Mammalia; Primates; Hominidae.